UACGUAGGGUGCGAGCGUUGUCCGGAAUUACUGGGCGUAAAGAGCUCGUAGGCGGUUUGUCACGUCGUCUGUGAAAGUCUGCAGCUUAACUGUAGGAGUGCAGGCGAUACGGGCAGACUUGAGUACUACAGGGGAGACUGGAAUUCCUGGUGUAGCGGUGAAAUGCGCAGAUAUCAGGAGGAACACCGGUGGCGAAGGCGGGUCUCUGGGCAACAACUGACGCUGAGGAGCGAAAGCGUGGGGAGCGAACAGG
This 253-nucleotide ribosomal RNA is filed under the name uncultured bacterium. Its description in RNAcentral is "partial 16S ribosomal RNA". It matches the Rfam family "Bacterial small subunit ribosomal RNA", at positions 524 to 776 of the family's 1533-position model. The record is from RNAcentral.